RNAcentral lists this ribosomal RNA (446 nucleotides) under uncultured bacterium. Its description in RNAcentral is "bacterial SSU rRNA". It matches the Rfam family "Bacterial small subunit ribosomal RNA", at positions 335 to 776 of the family's 1533-position model. The record is from RNAcentral.
ACUCCUACGGGAGGCAGCAGUGGGGAAUAUUGCACAAUGGGGGAAACCCUGAUGCAGCCAUGCCGCGUGUGUGAAGAAGGCCUUCGGGUCGUAAAGCACUUUCAGUAGGGAGGAAGGUAGUGUAGUUAACACCUGCACUAUUUGACGUUACCUACAGAAGAAGCACCGGCUAACUCCGUGCCAGCAGCCGCGGUAAUACGGAGGGUGCGAGCGUUAAUCGGAAUUACUGGGCGUAAAGCGCAUGCAGGCGGCCUGUUAAGUCAGAUGUGAAAGCCCGGGGCUUAACCUCGGAAUUGCAUUUGAAACUGGCAGGCUAGAGUCUUGUAGAGGGGUUAGAAUUUCAGGUGUAGCGGUGAAAUGCGUAGAGAUCUGAAGGAAUACCAGUGGCGAAGGCGCCCCGUGGACAAAGACUGACGCUCAGAUGCGAAAGCGUGGGAGCAAACAGG